UUCUUAUCAAGAGAGGUAGAGGGAGAGGGCCCUGUGAAACCCGGCAACCUGCUUCAUUAAUUAAUAAUUAAGAAUUAAAAAUGAAUAAGUUAUCAUUUUUAAUUAUAAUCUAUUAAUUGUAUAAGCGUGGUGCCAAUUCCUGCAAUUAAUUUUGCAAGAUAAGAA
Regulatory RNA element from Clostridium disporicum, 165 nucleotides. It matches the Rfam family "SAM riboswitch aptamer (S box leader)". From Rfam's summary of the family: The SAM riboswitch is found upstream of a number of genes which code for proteins involved in methionine or cysteine biosynthesis in Gram-positive bacteria. NCBI's taxonomy places the organism in Bacteria, Bacillati, Bacillota, Clostridia, Eubacteriales, Clostridiaceae. The record is from Rfam.